Molecule: small nuclear RNA, 107 nt
Filed under: Bison bison bison
Lineage: Eukaryota; Metazoa; Chordata; Mammalia; Artiodactyla; Bovidae
Source: RNAcentral
GUGCUCGCUUCAGCAGGACAUAUACUAAAAUUGGAACAAUACAGGGAAGAUUAGCAUGGCCCCUGCACAAGGAUGAUGUGCAAAUUCAUGAAGUGUACCAUAUUUUG